Molecule: long non-coding RNA, 391 nt
Filed under: Coccomyxa subellipsoidea
Lineage: Eukaryota; Viridiplantae; Chlorophyta; Trebouxiophyceae; Coccomyxaceae
Description: long non-coding RNA (CSUB_LNC000718)
Source: RNAcentral
CAAUAUUGUGAUGACUGCUGCCCCUAUAAGAUCAUAGGGUGGUUGUGAGUGCUCUGAUAAAUGCCACCCAUUCCAGUGCGCGGUCCUGCGAAAAAGGCAGCUGCACCACUCGCUGCACAAGCCAAAUUUCUCCUUGAGGCAGCUAGAGAAUCUGCGAGCACUUGUCCAGGGCUUGCUAGUCAGCUUGGACGGGCAGCCUUAAACGUGAGUAGUAGUACUGUGCAAAGUGUACACUGGCUGCCAGACAUUGGCAGAUACUUAUCAAAAGUUUGCAAUCACAGUCUUUGUAUGAUUGCAGUGUGCACAGAAGCAGCCGAAUGCACUGCCAAAAGGAGCUGUGCAGACACUCUGCCCCAAGUGUGGCUGCCCUCAGGAGCCUGAUAGUGAAGGC